UAGUACGGCGAGUGAAGCGGGAUGAGCUCAAGCUUAAAAUCUCCGUGCAAUUUUUGCACGGCGAAUUGUAGUCUAUAGAGGCGUGGUCAGUAUAAGCACUUGGGGUAAGUUCCUUGGAAAAGGACAGCAGGGAGGGUGAUACUCCCGUUCAUCUCUAAGUUGCUUGUGCGUACGACCCGUUUUCUUUGAGUCGCGUUGUUUGAGAAUGCAGCGCAAAGUAGGUGGUAAAUUCCAUCUAAAGCUUAAUAUUGGUGCGAGACCGAUAGCAAACAAGUACCGUGAGGGAAAGAUGAAAAGAACUUUGAAAAUAGAGUUAAAGAGUACCUGAAACUGCUGAAAGGGAACCAAAUCGUUUCCAGUGUCUAUAAUCCGUGGUAUAUUUCAUUGGCGAGUGUGUGCGUGCGUGUGCUGUUGCAGUGGCUUUUUGGCUGCGCUCGGUGUGUGUGCUGUGUGUACUUGCUGGUGCCCUGUGCUGCGGUGGGACGUCAAGGUCAGUUCGUAUGCUGCGGGAAAUGGCUACUGAGGAGGUAGGGCUUACGCUUGCGUUUGUCUGUUAUAUCUUGGUGGACGAGUCGUCGCGGGUUGGGACUGAGGUGCCUACAACGUGCUUUUGAGUGGGCUUGGGUCUCCGUGUGCGCCGUGUGCGGAUAGCUUGCUAUGCGUGUGUGGUUGUAUGUGGAUUGAUGCGAGCCGUAACU
RNAcentral lists this ribosomal RNA (698 nucleotides) under Plasmopara obducens. RNAcentral describes it as "LSU rRNA". It matches the Rfam family "Eukaryotic large subunit ribosomal RNA", at positions 81 to 631 of the family's 3401-position model. Lineage: Eukaryota; Oomycota; Peronosporomycetes; Peronosporales; Peronosporaceae. The record is from RNAcentral.